AGCUUAUGCGACCUCUUUUCUUUCUUCCGAUCUAUGUAGUUGUUUUUUGCUGAAAUUAUUGUGAUCCUGGGAUGCUUUUCCUUUGUAAAUUUUAUUUCCCUCCGUAAUUCGAUGUACACGGUUCAUUGAUUUGAAGCAUUUGUGUUGUUCAGUUAACUUUAAUUUGGUGUAACUGGAUUACGUUGAUUUUGAUGUGUUCGUCUCCAUUAUGUCUUAGAAUUUCUCUUCUCUGUCUCUGUCUCUGUUUCUGUCUCUCUCGUUCAGAUGUGGGAGAAGUUGCAUAGCUCACAAUGGUUUAAUUUGAAAUACGAUAUGUCCUUUCCAAAUAGUAAUGAGAGUCUUGAUUAUUAUGUAAAACAAAGAAUCUCAUCAUGGGGAGAGAGGAUUUCCGACUAUCGCAAUAUUAAGCUCUUUGUGUGGAACCAUGAAAACAACACUUACAAGACAGAGAUGCAAAGGAAAAACAUUGGGUCCCCAAGGGAAACGCAAUUGCAGCCUUCUCGAGCUAUAAUAAGCCAGCCAAUUAUGAUACUUGUGUUACCUUCUGAAAGGAAUUUGAUGGGGCAGAGAAUCCAUCGCUGUCUCGGCUGUGCUGAUGGAGGCUUUGGGGAAGUUGAAUAGCACAUCUUGAGGUUGUUGGCUACCUAUCAUUCUACCUCAAGAAAUCAGUGCCACCCUAGAAUGCAUUUCUUCCCGUCUUUUGCUUCUUCAGAACGGAAACCAUUGUAGACCUCUUCCAUUGGUUUGAGAUCAAAUCCUUGGGGGAUUUCCGAGAAUCCACCCAUCAGACUGGGAGAAGUAACUGCAGAUUACUUUGUCUCUAUCAUGUCAUAAAUGGUGAAUUCUUACCGCAACUCUGUUAAUUGUUACUUUGUUAAAUGGUGGAGAUCAGUUUCUGAUUUUUAAUUCUGGUAAGAGACAACAUGAACAGGGAUAUGAAGCGGUGUAAGAAAGGCCUUUAAUCAGGCUCAAUUCUGGCUGAGGUUGGAUCAAUUGUGACAUGUCUUCAUCAUUGGCAAAGAAGAGCAGAUGGAGGAAAAGGAGAUUACUUGAUUUUACAUUGAACACCAUUUUAUGACCUAAUUUACCAAAUGAAAUUUUCAUUUCAUUCUUUUUUUCUUUAAAUAUAUAUAAUGAAAAUAAGAAAAUGAGAAAUGAGGCAUGAAAGCUAUACUAAAUGCUGCCUAAAUGUUGACAGAUACAAGUAGAUAGUUUGAUCUUUAAACCAAAAUGGUUUCUCUUUUUUGUAUAGGAAAGAAAAAGCACAAUGGUCUUAUUUGACAGAAAUACGAGUCUCUGUUUUCUUCCUGUCCUUCUGUAUUUGUCUUCCUGUCAAAUUGUUACAUUUGAUUUCAUUUCAUGCCCCUAAUAUCAAGAUCUAAGAUCAAGUCCAGAGACCAAUCUUCAAGGCUAGAGAUGUUAACAUAUAUUCCUACAUGUCUAGUCCUACUUUGUUUUUCUCCCCUUAAACUCUUUUCCAAAACCUUAUUUUCUAUCUAGAGCCAUUCACUCCACCCCCCCCCCCCUUUCCUUAUUAUUGCGCCCUGAUUUAGAUAGAGUUGAAUCAUAUGCUUGAAUAAGCUGUGGGAAUAACUUCUUGCAUCAGCCCUGUGUCUGUUAUUGCCAUGUAGUAUUUGUUUCAUCAACAUUUAACUUCUUGUUCUUAUUCUGUUUCAAGUUGUGUUGGAAAGCAAAGGACUGAAAUAUGAAGAAGAGUUUUUCAUGGUUCUUGCAGAGUAUUGGUUGGUAUGACCCUGAGGUUUAAAUCCGACUUUAGAACUGAAAUGGUGAUUCUGUGUUUGUAUUUAUUUUCUUAUAUAAAUAAUAAUAACGAGUGCAGAGUAGAGCAUGAUUUGGAUUAAAGAAACAAAGAAGUGAGGAGGACAAGUACAAAGAGAUUGUCCAUGAUCAUCAACUUCCCUCACACCUAAAAUGCUAUCUCACUGUAAUAGAUGCUUAUUAAUUAAUUUUGUUGUUUGGUGUAUUGCUUUUGUAGACAUCAUUCCUGGAAGGCUGGAACCCUACAUAAACAGACUUAUUUUUGAGCCUGAAGUCAUUUACAUGUAAGGGCAAUUCCAUAGCAGUUUGACUCAUGGUAUGGCACACUUUUUUAACUUCUGGUUUCCUGAAAUCUGAAUUCUGAAGGGUUAGUUUCUGACCUCUCUAUGUUUGAAAUUAGGGUAUUGUUUUGUGAAAUUAGAGUAUUGUUUUGUCUGUGGGAAAGUGUAUAAGAGGAGUGUACACUAUUUUUAUGGAUUUAUGAAAAUGAUGAAAAGCUAUUGGAGGCUGUGGAUUAGAGCAUUACAAUUGAAUAUGGAAUCAGAAAAUUUACAACCAGCCACUGGUUCUUUAUGCACAAUCACUGGCAGAAUAGUAAGGAGUCAAUCUUAUGGAAAUACACUUGUUUGUCUUUGAAAACUCCAGGGUCUAUCUCCUUUAAAUUUACAGCAGACUGCAAAUUUAUCUUUAUGACGUACCAAUCCCAAAAGACUCCAGGGAAGCACAUAACGCAUGGAAAUGUUGAACUCUAGGUUCAUAGUUGUCAAGGCGACUAGGUGACCCAAGGCAUUGGAUAGGCACCUAGGUGUGCCAUAUGUGACUGCAUAUAGCUAUGAUAAAUUUAUAGGAUCAUGUUUAUAUAUGCUACAUAGAGGCCAUAUCAGUGCAAUAUGAUAUAAUUCUGCUAGUAAUGGCCUAAUAUGAAAAAAAUUAACAGAUAGUAAACAAAGUAUAGGAUUGAUAUAAGUAUAUUCAUUGAAAAACAAAGCAAUGAACAUAAAUCAACGGAAGUGUCAACAGGGCAUGCUGUCUCCUUGGACCUAAGAAAGAGCUUGGAUGCCUUGUGAAGCCUUGAAAACUGUGAAUUCCUUAAUUGAACGUUAUAGAAAACAUAUGUCCAUUAUUUAUCAGAGCAUUCCAAUAUAAUAUGAACCAGAAAAAAUGUAUCUUUUUUUUUUUUUAUCUUUUUUCUGAAUCUAUCAAAAAAAAAAAAAAGAAGAAGAAAAUGAUAAAACCAGAAAACUUACAACAUUGAUUCUUUAAGCAUGGUCAAUCUGCAGAAUCCCAAAGACUCCUUGUUGAAGUUGUUCGGGAAAGGCAUUUUUCAGUAAGUGAGGUCUAUGGGUAAGAGUACAAAUACAAAAUUUGGGUCUCUGUCCAAAGCCAUUUAUCAGCCUGCUCCCAUGGACAAACAUGACCUUGGGCUUCCCAUGUGGAGGAGUGAUUGCGUCUACUUCACUAUUUUAGGUUCAGGAGUUGUUCCUCUAUGAUUGAACUACAACCAUAUAUUCAACUCAACUCAGCCUUAUCACGACUAAAUGGGGUCUACUACACGGAACCCUUUUCUCCAUUCAGCUCUAUUCAAAGCCAUACUUGUUGCUAGUCCUAAGCUAUAGGUGUCUUUCCUCACCACUUUUUCUAGAAUCAUUUUAGGCCUACACUUGGCUCUAUUAGCUCCUUCAUUCUGAAUGAAAUCAACCAUCCGUAUUGAAGCAUUCAAAGGCCUCCGUUGUACAUGUCCAUACCACUACAAAUGAAUUUCUUGCAACUUAUUAUGUAUCAGAGCUACUCCUAAAUUAGCUUUAAUUUGUCCAUUCCCGAUUUUAUCUGUGUUGUUUUACCACUCAUCCAAACCGGCUUACCAACAUUAGAGAAUUUUGACCUUGGAGCUUCCUAAAGUGACCCUCUUGUUAUGUCUACUUCACUAUCAUACUAGUGGGGAAUGGUUGUUCCAUUUAUUGUCCUAGUUGUAGUGAUUUACCAAAAUUAUAUCCUCCAACUGUAAAGUUUGAUAACUUGUGCCAUCUGUGUCGUUAAGAUUAUUCACUUCCUUCCAAGUUGCAAGGUGAUUCCCUCUUGCUUUACACACCGAAAAAAAUUCCUUCCACAAUUUUGUGUAUUCUACAACAGAAGCCACAGGGAACGAGUAGGAAUUAGGAGGGUCAAGAAUUUGGCAAAUAUCUCUAAUAGUUCCUGUACAUGAGUAGCCUUUCUUGUAGGAAGGCAACAUUUUCUCAAUCUUCCUGAUAUCUUUGUAGCAUUGGCAUGAGUGCAAAUGUUAAAUCAGACAGCAAUGUGAAGCGUCUUUGGUCCAUGCCAUUGCAUAGGAUUUGAAUAUUGGUAUUAUAUGCAAAUAAAAGGAAAAUUUCCUCUAAGCAUCCUGCUUGGAAAGGUUUCUCUUUUCUAUGUGGAAGAGUGAUGUGGUAAUAUUACUGUUGGAUAUCUAGGGUGAGGAAUGGUGUAGAUUGGCCAUGUGUCAAAUGUUAGAACCUAAUUCAAUCCUCCCUCCCAUGUAUUGGCAUGCAUUCCCAUGUAGGUCCAUGCUUGGCAACUAUUAUUCCAACUACUGCUGUACACUCUCUUAUAGUCUUGGAUUUUUCAAAAGCUCUAUUUUGCCACUUGAAAAAUUCUGAAACUUUACAUGUUAGCAGGGGAGCUUGGGUAUUACUUGUCCACCAAUUUAGGCCCCACCUGAACUAGCACAUGGCAUAUAUUGAGGUCUCGCUAAGAGUUUCCUUCCCAAAUGGGCCACUUAGAGAACCCUCACCUUUAAAUAGUUUGAAAGACCCUGUGUUUUGGUUUAGGAAGUACAUUGCUUUUAACAAGAAAUGCCCUUGCUUAAUAUUUGAUGGUUAACUCAUGCGGCUGUGGCAGGCUGCAAGGAUUCUUGCAAAAAUAAUUGUAGGGGGAUCUGGGAUAUUGGCGAGGGUUGUAGUGCAAGCAUACUAUCAGGCCAUUAGUAGUAAAUCCAUUUCAUUUCUUCAUAUCUAGUUUGCAGUUGUUCAGAUGAAUAUUGAGCUAAGUUUCAUUGUAGAGCACAUUUUCCAUAUUUAUUGGUUUUUAAUUUGAUGUUCCCUAUUUGUGCCAUAGUAUUGAAGCUGUAUAAUUUUCUGUUUUUGUUAGGAAUUCCACCCAAAAUGACAAAUACUUGUGUUGGAGCAUAAGUUUGAGAGAACCAUGUGUAUUACCAAACAUCCAGGGUAGUUUUUUGAUAUGGCUAAUUAGCUAUGUUGAUGUCUGUUGAUAUACAUUGUUGUGAUCCUUAACAAACAGCUCGAGCUUUUCGGAUAAACGGUUUUAAAAUGGUAUCAGAGUUAUGAGGUUGGGUGUUCGAUCCAUAAUAAGUGCGAGGGGUUUGUGUUGUGUCCCUAAGCUUUGUGCCUUUUGCUGCCACGUGACUGUGUCACAUGCAAAGCUGUGUUUGUGUGGACCUGCAUUGGGGGGGGGUGUUUGAUGUGUGUUGUUAUACAUUGUUGUGACCCUUGCUUAACCGCUCGAGCUUUUGGGAUAAGCAGAUGUAGUAGAUGGUGCGAAACACCAUUGAAAGAGCAAGCAAAACCAUCAUUGCACCGGAGGCACGGCGGAUCCGAGGGUCAUUGAGGAGUCAUCAUGGGGUGUGAUCUUGCAGGUUUGGGUUAGGAUGUGUGUCCACCAUGUUGCUGUCAGUAGUAGUUGUGUUGUGUUUCUGGACCAUUUUUAAACAAUCAUCAUCAAUGUAGUAAUAUUAUAUCUUGUUUGAGUGAAUUGGGGGUGGGGGGGGGGGGAGGGGCAAUGGGAGUUUUCAUCUGAAAUCAAAUGUUCUCAACGCAAGCUAAGGAAUGCUUAAAAGCAGUAUACUAAAUCAGGUUGUAAUCGGAUGAUAUUCCUUAUUUCCUAUAUUGGCACCUUACUUUGCUUCCCAAAA
Macadamia integrifolia is the source of this 5683-nucleotide long non-coding RNA. RefSeq lists it as uncharacterized. The transcript has 3 exons. Lineage: Eukaryota; Viridiplantae; Streptophyta; Magnoliopsida; Proteales; Proteaceae. The record is from RefSeq and is a predicted model, not a curated record.